GAUGAACGCUGGCGGCGUGCUUAACACAUGCAAGUCGAACGAUGAACCUCACUUGUGGGGGGAUUAGUGGCGAACGGGUGAGUAACACGUGAGUAACCUGCCCUUAACUCUGGGAUAAGCCUGGGAAACUGGGUCUAAUACCGGAUAUGACUCCUCAUCGCAUGGUGGGGGGUGGAAAGCUUUAUUGUGGUUUUGGAUGGACUCGCGGCCUAUCAGCUUGUUGGUGAGGUAAUGGCUCACCAAGGCGACGACGGGUAGCCGGCCUGAGAGGGUGACCGGCCACACUGGGACUGAGACACGGCCCAGACUCCUACGGGAGGCAGCAGUGGGGAAUAUUGCACAAUGGGCGAAAGCCUGAUGCAGCGACGCCGCGUGAGGGAUGACGGCCUUCGGGUUGUAAACCUCUUUCAGUAGGGAAGAAGCGAAAGU
RNAcentral lists this ribosomal RNA (429 nucleotides) under uncultured bacterium. RNAcentral's name for it is "bacterial SSU rRNA". It matches the Rfam family "Bacterial small subunit ribosomal RNA", at positions 28 to 457 of the family's 1533-position model. The record is from RNAcentral.